This 434-nucleotide ribosomal RNA is filed under the name uncultured Saccharofermentans sp. RNAcentral describes it as "bacterial SSU rRNA". It matches the Rfam family "Bacterial small subunit ribosomal RNA", at positions 341 to 792 of the family's 1533-position model. Lineage: Bacteria; Bacillati; Bacillota; Clostridia; Eubacteriales; Oscillospiraceae. The record is from RNAcentral.
ACGGAAGGCAGCAGUGGGGAAUAUUGGGCAAUGGGCGCAAGCCUGACCCAGCAAUGCCGCGUGAAGGAAGAAGGCUUUCGGGUUGUAAACUUCUUUUAAGUGGGACGAUAAUGACGGUACCACUUGAAUAAGCUCCGGCUAACUACGUGCCAGCAGCCGCGGUAAUACGUAGGGAGCAAGCGUUAUCCGGAUUUACUGGGCGUAAAGGGCGUGUAGGCGGUCUUGCAAGUCAGAAGUGAAAUUCCUGAGCUCAACUCGGGCGCUGCUUCUGAAACUGCAGGACUUGAGUGCUGGAGGGGAUAGCGGAAUUCCUAGUGGAGCGGUAAAAUGCGCAGAUAUUAGGAAGAACACCGGUGGCGAAGGCGGCUAUCUGGACAGUAACUGACGCUGAGGCGCGAAAGCGUGGGGAGCAAACAGGAUUAGAUACCCUGGUA